AGAACAUCGACAUCUUGAACGCAUAUUGCGGCUACGGGGUAUCUCGUGGCCACGCCUGUCCGAGGGUUGGCUUUUUAUUUAUCGCGACGCCCAAAAUGUUGCGGCUUGGAAGUAGUGCUACCUGGCAAUAGUGAUUUGCUUGCUGUUCCUAAAUAUGAUGUUUGUGGAAUUAGUUGAGCGCGCCAGUAUUAAUUAUGUAGCUCCUUCCUAAUGUGACCGGUCGCAAUCAUAUUCGAAUUGUGUAUUUGAAUAAAAUUGUGGUAGCGGCUUGUGCUCAGGUUGUGGCUUAGUAUUGUUGUUGAUCAUGCCUGGGGUUGCUAGUUGUUACUUCAAUGUUGUUUAAGUGCUCAAUGUUAUUUGUCGAGUGUGAAAUAACGACUGACGGUGCAAUGUUUUUUUACCUAACCUCGGAUCAGACGUGAAUACCCGCUGAACUUAAGCAUAUCACUAAGCGGAGGAAAAGAAACUAACCAGGA
Molecule: ribosomal RNA, 476 nt
Filed under: Cardicola sp. JFPA-2015
Lineage: Eukaryota; Metazoa; Platyhelminthes; Trematoda; Strigeidida; Aporocotylidae
Description: eukaryotic LSU rRNA
Rfam family: Eukaryotic large subunit ribosomal RNA (bases 403-476)
Source: RNAcentral